CAGCAGCCGCGGGAAUACGAAGGGUGCAAGCGUUAAUCGGAAUUACUGGGCGUAAAGCGUGCGUAGGCGGUUUGUUAAGUCUGCUGUGAAAUCCCCGGGCUCAACCUGGGAAUGGCAGUGGAUACUGGCAAGCUAGAGUGUGUCAGAGGAUGGUGGAAUUCCCGGUGUAGCUGUGAAAUCCGUAGAGAUCGGGAGGAACAUCAGUGGCGAAGGCGGCCAUCUGGGACAACACUGACGCUGAGGCACGAAAGCGUGGGGAGCAAACAGGAUUAGAUACCCCAGUAGUCACUGUCUCUUAUAC
Molecule: ribosomal RNA, 301 nt
Filed under: uncultured bacterium
Lineage: Bacteria
Description: partial 16S ribosomal RNA
Rfam family: Bacterial small subunit ribosomal RNA
Source: RNAcentral